UGCUCAUUACCAAUAUUUUAUCUAGUAGGAGCUGGUGCAGCACUUUUCUGGGUCCUUGGUGUAUCCUGGUUCCUGAUAACUUUACAUGCUGCUUUUUAUAACAUUGAUUCAGUCUUGUGCCCAGGAGAAGAUGAGCUCAAUUCCUUAGUUAUGCAAGAAGUAUGAUCUGUAUUAUAAUAAAUUAUUAAUAACUGUACAUAAUAGAAAAUACACUAAUUCCAAUCGGAUUAAGAAAAAUGAUAAUUUAACAUUUAAGUGAUGUAUAGGAAAUUUUAAAUAUAUUAUGCUUACAUGAAUUCAUAUAUUAUUGGUAUAAUUAUAAACUAUAAUUUUUGUUACCA
This is a non-coding RNA of Megalopta genalis, 341 nucleotides long. The record is from RefSeq and is a predicted model, not a curated record. NCBI's taxonomy places the organism in Eukaryota, Metazoa, Arthropoda, Insecta, Hymenoptera, Halictidae.